RNAcentral lists this ribosomal RNA (490 nucleotides) under uncultured bacterium. RNAcentral's name for it is "partial 16S ribosomal RNA". It matches the Rfam family "Bacterial small subunit ribosomal RNA", at positions 28 to 507 of the family's 1533-position model. The record is from RNAcentral.
GAUGAACGCUAGCUACAGGCUUAACACAUGCAAGUCGCGGGGCAGCAUGGGGGUUGCUUGCAAUCCCCGAUGGCGACCGGCGCACGGGUGAGUAACGCGUAUCCAACCUGCCCUUCACCACGGGAUAACCCGGCGAAAGUCGGACUAAUACCGUAUGUUGUCCAUUGACGGCAUCCGAUUUGGACGAAAGGUUUGGCGGUGAAGGAUGGGGAUGCGUCCGAUUAGCUGGACGGCGGGGUGACGGCCCACCGUGGCGACGAUCGGUAGGGGUUCUGAGAGGAAGGUCCCCCACACUGGAACUGAGACACGGUCCAGACUCCUACGGGAGGCAGCAGUGAGGAAUAUUGGUCAAUGGGCGUAAGCCUGAACCAGCCAAGUAGCGUGCAGGAGGACGGCCCUAUGGGUUGUAAACUGCUUUUAUGCGGGGAUAAAGUGGCCCACGUGUGGGUUUUUGCAGGUACCGCAUGAAUAAGAACCGGCUAAUUCCGUG